RNAcentral lists this ribosomal RNA (198 nucleotides) under Helotiales sp. Its description in RNAcentral is "partial large subunit ribosomal RNA". It matches the Rfam family "Eukaryotic large subunit ribosomal RNA", at positions 82 to 279 of the family's 3401-position model. Lineage: Eukaryota; Fungi; Ascomycota; Leotiomycetes; Helotiales. The record is from RNAcentral.
AGUAACGGCGAGUGAAGCGGCAACAGCUCAAAUUUGAAAUCUGGCUUUCGGGCCCGAGUUGUAAUUUGUAGAAGAUGCUUCGGGUGUGGCUCCGGUCUAAGUUCCUUGGAACAGGACGUCAUAGAGGGUGAGAAUCCCGUAUGUGACUGGGUGCCUUCGCCUAUGUGAAGCUCUUUCGACGAGUCGAGUUGUUUGGGA